GAGAGAGAGAGAGGUAAAAUAGCGGGACACUUCCUAGUAAACUCGUGUCUUGUGUUCAUUUUAUUACCAAAAAAAAAAUUGUGCAUAAUUUUGAUCGAUUUUCUAAUCUGGCAACAUUCGAUAACGUCAUCAGUUUAGAGAAGGAUAGCAUUGUUGAAUAAAAAUUUAAUUGGAAUUGUGUAUGUGAUGUGUCUGUUGGUGCACUAGCCGGAUUUUUCUCUAGCCAGCUAACGUCAACUGUCAGCGCCGACACCGCGUGCGUGCGCGUGAAGCAGUGAAGCCAAGCCAGCCGACUCCAGAGUCCAGACUCGACAGAAAACGCAGUUAGAGGAAACUUCCACCCAAGCAGACGUUGAGGCCCAGAUUUCCCUGCCAAGCACUCUUAAGACUCAUCAUGCUCGGAGAGUCCAUUCUGGGGGCAAAUAGGUGGAUGCUUUCCAUCGAGGGCAGCGUUCUCCAACCAAAUCCAACUGAGUGACCGUUCCGAAUUCACUUCGGCUCUGGCUGUGCUUUUUGCAUCAUACUAUAUAUUUAACAUGGAAUAUCCUGCGGAGGCAGCCACUACAUUAGAAUUUAUCCAGAGGGUAGAAGACUCCAUCCCAGGAAAUUGACUAAUUCAGGCCCGUUUCUGAAGAAAAAUACAGUUCUGGGAGAAAAACAACAUUCGGGGACCAAAUUCUACUGUUUGAAAUCCUGCUGUUUUUAAAUAAUUUAAUUUGCCUUUUAUACAUUCUAAUUUUAACCGAACAUUUUAAUACAUUUGAACAGGAUUGAUUUGUAUGUUCAGAAAAGUGUUGUUGUAUACAAAACGAAAUGAAAUGUUAACAGAAAAAUGUUUACCUAUUGAAGAUUUUUUUUUUGCUAUGCUAUUUUUAUUUUAUGAAUUUAGAAAUUAAAAGUGUGAAAAGUUAUAAAUAAAUGG
Carassius carassius (crucian carp) is the source of this 922-nucleotide long non-coding RNA. RefSeq lists it as uncharacterized. NCBI's taxonomy places the organism in Eukaryota, Metazoa, Chordata, Actinopteri, Cypriniformes, Cyprinidae. The record is from RefSeq and is a predicted model, not a curated record. The transcript is spliced from 4 exons.